Molecule: ribosomal RNA, 701 nt
Filed under: uncultured Alphaproteobacteria bacterium
Lineage: Bacteria; Pseudomonadati; Pseudomonadota; Alphaproteobacteria
Description: bacterial SSU rRNA
Rfam family: Bacterial small subunit ribosomal RNA
Source: RNAcentral
UGACAGUCGAACGCUAUUUAUAGAGUGGCGCACGGGUGAGUACGCGUGGGAACUGCCCUUCUGAGUGGGAUAACGUUUGGAAACGAACGCUAAUACCACAUACGCCCUACGGGGGAAAGGUCCGCCGCAGAAGGAGGUGCCCGCGUCCGAUUAGCUUGUUGGUGAGGUAAUGGCUCACCAAGGCGACGAUCGGUAGCUGGUCUGAGAGGAUGAUCAGCCACACUGGGACUGAGACACGGCCCAGACUCCUACGGGAGGCAGCAGUGGGGAAUAUUGGACAAUGGGGGCAACCCUGAUCCAGCAAUGCCGCGUGUGUGAUGAAGGCCCUAGGGUUGUAAAGCACUUUCACUGGUGAAGAUGAUGACGGUAGCCAGAGAAGAAGCCCCGGCUAACUUCGUGCCAGCAGCCGCGGUAAUACGAAGGGACCUAGCGUAGUUCGGAAUUACUGGGCUUAAAGAGUUCGUAGGUGGUUGAAAAAGUUAGUGGUGAAAUCCCAGAGCUUAACUCUGGAACUGCCAUUAAAACUUUUCAGCUAGAGUAUGAUAGAGGAAAGCAGAAUUUCUAGUGUAGAGGUGACAUCCGUAGAUAUCAGACAGAAUACCAAUUGCGAAGGCAGCUUUCUGGAUCAUUACUGACCCUGAGGAACGAAAGCAUGGGUAGCGAAGAGGAUAGCUCCCUCGUAGCCAUGCCCCAACGAUGGU